This 2214-nucleotide ribosomal RNA is filed under the name Triticum aestivum (bread wheat). RNAcentral describes it as "partial small subunit ribosomal RNA". The record is from RNAcentral. Lineage: Eukaryota; Viridiplantae; Streptophyta; Magnoliopsida; Poales; Poaceae.
AUGAUGAACGGUCCCCAGCUCGCGGUGGCGCUCAUCCCCGCUUGCGGCGGCGCUCGUCCUCGGCUCCCGUGGCGGACGGCGCUCAUCCCCGACCCGCAGCGGCGUUCGGCCCUGGUUCCCGCGGCGGACGGCGCUCGUCCCUGCCUCUCCUCAGUGGCGACGGCUGACGGCGGGCGGCGACAGCGGCGGCAGCCGCCGAAGGCCGCGAGGCGAGGAGACGCCGGCGAAUCGCCGCGCCAAAGCCCGCCUUUUCCUUGCCUUCCCCACCAGAUUUUUCUGCUGACCCGUGCUCGAUUUGGUCUGUGUCUGGAUGUUGUUUUUGCCUUGGAGUGCUGCUAUCCGUUGGAUUCUGGCUGGUCGGUGGAUGGAAGGCCGCGAGGCACAUGUGAAACUUUGAAGCAACACGCAAAUCAAGUCAAGGAGAUGGAAUUCACAAAUAUGAUAAACACGAUAACGUCCCUUGAGGAAGAUUGUUCCUGCCAAAUUGAGAUGAUAGAAGCAACAGGACGUGGAAGCAUUGCUGCAGGUAUGAACAGAGCAGAACAUAGUAGCUCCCCAUCAACCACUACACCAGAUCAGACCAUCUCCGAGAUGGAGUUCCACUGGAACUGGAAGAGGAUGUGGGAUCUUAAAGGAAAUAUUCGUGUUUUCUGCCGAAUACGACCUUUAAUCUCAAAUGAAUCACUAGCCUUUUAUUUUGAUGGAGCAAAUGAUGGAGACAUUGGGAUUAUGAAUGGAGGAACAACAAAAAAGACAUUCAAGUUUGACCGAGUCUACACCCCAAAGGAUGACCAAGUGCUAGAUGGAUACAAUGUGUGCAUCUUUGCAUACGGACAAACAGGAACUGGGAAGACCUUCGCCAUGGAAGGGACUGAAAGGAACAUAGGAGUAAACUAUAGAACUCUGGAGGAGUUGUUCAAGAUUGCCGAGGAGAGAAAAGACACUGUCACGUACAACAUAUCAGUUAGUGUGCUUGAGGUGUACAAUGAACAAAUCAGAGACCUCCUUGCAACAUCCCCUUCAUCUCAGAAGUUGGAGAUCAAACAAGCAGGUGAAGGAUCCCAUCAUGUGCCCGGCAUAGUUGAGGCCAAAGUUGAGGACAUAAAUGAAGUUUGGGAUGUCUUACAAACUGGAAGCAAUUCGAGGGCUACAGGCAUGCUUUGUAUCAUGGUUAGAGCAAAGAACCUGAUAAAUGGGGGCUGUACAACAAGUAAGCUCUGGUUGGUAGAUCUUGUUGGAAGCGAGCAGUUAGCCAAGACAUACGCGCAAGGUGAUCGGCUCAAGGAAGCACAAAAUAUCAACAGGUCGCUUUCUGCUUUAGGCGAUGUCAUUUAUGCUCUUGCUUCCAGAAGCAGCCACAUUCCUUACAGCCCAUCCGACAACGACGCGUCGGAAACCUUGAGUUCGUUGAACUUUUCUAGCCAUAUCCAUGGUAUAGAACUGGGCCCAGCAAAGAAGCAGGUCGACACAGUCGAGCUUCAAAAGGUCAAACAGAUGCUUGAAAGGUCUAAGCAGGAAGCCAAGCUGAAGGAGGAAUCUUUGAGAAAGCUGGAAGAGAAGUGUCAAAAUUUAGAGAAUAAAGCCAAGGGAAAAGAGCAGCUUUACAAAAACUUGGAAGACAAGGUGAAGGAGCUUGAAAGCCAACUAGACUCUAAGAUGCAUUCUCAGAUUACAUCGGAAAAGCAGCAGAAUCAGCAUUCUGGAAAACUGAAGGAGAAGGAAGAAGCGUGUAGUGCGCUACAGCACAAGAUAGAGGAGUUGGAGCGUAAGCUUGGACAACAGCAGCAGUCAGACUCUGAGGUCGCAGCUCUUAAGCAAACGAUUGAGGAGCUGGAGGUCAAACUGAAGGAGCAGACACAACAAAGAUCAGCUGCAGAAUCAAAGAGUCUCUGUGGUUCCAGGGUGACGAGGCAGCAGCAGCAGCAGGCGGCGGUGGCGAGCAGCAACAAGAUCAAGGGGUGGAGUAAGAAGAAGAUGGAUUGGAGGCUCAACUUUGAGCUGAGCCGAGCCACCCCUCAGCAUAGAGACCUACCUACCUUGAUGCUCUGUAAAACAAAACCAUUUAGGCCGGUUGCUUUGAUGCAGCAUUUAGAAGAGCAGCAACAAUUUUUUUUGAGACAAGCAGAGCAGCAACAGCUGGCGUGCAAACGUGCCUCACCGAACGAGGCGAGGGAAACACCUAGUUUCUGGACCGCGGCCCGCUACUGGCGCUGA